This 1202-nucleotide ribosomal RNA is filed under the name metagenome. Its description in RNAcentral is "bacterial SSU rRNA". It matches the Rfam family "Archaeal small subunit ribosomal RNA", at positions 116 to 1309 of the family's 1478-position model. The record is from RNAcentral.
CGAGACAGAGACAACCCCGGGAAACUGGGGCUAAUCUCCGAUAGGCGAAGAGCUCUGGAAUGAGCCUUUACCAAAAAAACGAGUAGGCUAUGCUUCUAGUCGUCGCUCGAGGAUGGGGCCGCGACCGAUCAGGUUGUUGGUGAGGUAACGGCUCACCAAGCCUAUAACCGGUGCGGGCCGUGGGAGCGGGAGCCCGGAGAUGGGCACUGAGACAAGGGCCCAGGCCCUACGGGGCGCAGCAGUCGCGCAAACUUUGCAAUACACGAAAGUGUGACAGGGCUAUCCCGAGUGCCGUCCGCUGAGGAUGGCUUUUACCCAGUCUAGAACGCUGGGGGAAUAAGGAGAGGGCAAGUCUGGUGUCAGCCGCCGCGGUAAUACCAGCUCUCCGAGUGGUGUGGAUGUUUAUUGGGCCUAAAGCAUCCGUAGCUGGCCAAGCCAGUCCCUUGUUAAACCCACCGAAUUAAUCGUUGGAUUGCGGGGGAUACUGCUCGGCUAGGGGACGAGAGAGGCAGACGGUAUUCUCGGGGUAGGGGUGAAAUCCUAUAAUCCCGAGAAGACCACCAGUGGCGAAGGCUGUCUGCUAGAACGCGCCCGACGGUGAGGGAUGAAAGCUGGGGGAGCGAACCGGAUUAGAUACCCGGGUAGUCCCAGCUGUAAACGAUGCAGGCUAGGUGUUUGGACGGCCACGUGCCGUUCUAGUGCCGCAGGGAAGCUGUUAAGCCUGCCGCCUGGGGAGUACGGUCGCAAGAUUGAAACUUAAAGGAAUUGGCGGGGGAGCACCACAAGGGGUGAAGCUUGCGGUUUAAUUGGAGCAACGCCGGAAAUCUCACCGGGAGCGACACCAGUUUGAAGGCCAGAUUAAAGGUCUUGCCAGACGAGCUGAGAGGAGGUGCAUGGCCGUCGCCAGUUCGUGCCGUGAGGUGUCCUGUUAAGUCAGGCAACGAUCGAGACCCGCGUCCUCUGUUGCAACCAGUCUUGAGCUGGGCACACUGAGGAGACCGCCACUGAUAAAGUGGAGGAAGGAGCGGGCCACGGCAGGUCAGUAUGCCCCGAAUCUCCCGGGCCACACGCGAGCUGCAAUGGCAGGUACAAUGGGUUCCGACCUUGAAAGGGGAAGGCAAUCUCGAAAGCCUGCCGUAGUUGGGAUUGAGGGUUGUAACCCAUCCUCAUGAACAUGGAAUCCCUAGUAAUCGCGUGUCACU